UGCCCCGUGGUGUAAUUGGUAACACGCUUGAUUCUGGAUCAAGUAUUUCUGGUUCGAGUCCAGACGGGGCAGCCA
RNAcentral lists this transfer RNA (75 nucleotides) under Candidatus Omnitrophota bacterium. RNAcentral's name for it is "Candidatus Omnitrophica bacterium tRNA-Gln". It matches the Rfam family "tRNA". From Rfam's summary of the family: Transfer RNA (tRNA) molecules are approximately 80 nucleotides in length. The record is from RNAcentral. Lineage: Bacteria; Pseudomonadati; Candidatus Omnitrophota.